GACGAACGCUGGCGGCGUGCUUAACACAUGCAAGUCGAACGGAAAGGCCCUGCUUGCAGGGUACUCGAGUGGCGAACGGGUGAGUAACACGUGGGUGAUCUGCCCUGCACUUCGGGAUAAGCCUGGGAAACUGGGUCUAAUACCGGAUAGGAGCCAUUUUUAGUGUGAUGGUUGGAAAGUUUUUUCGGUGUAGGAUGAGCUCGCGGCCUAUCAGCUUGUUGGUGGGUAAUGGCCUACCUAGGCGGCGACGGGUAGCCGGCCUGAGAGGGUGGACGGCCACAUUGGGACUGAGAUACGGCCCAGACUCCUACGGGAGGCAGCAGUGGGGAAUAUUGCACAAUGGGCGCAAGCCUGAUGCAGCGACGCCGCGUGGGGGAUGACGGCCUUCGGGUUGUAAACUCCUUUCGCUAGGGACGAAGCUUUUUGUGACGGUACCUAGAUAAGAAGCACCGGCUAACUACGUG
Molecule: ribosomal RNA, 464 nt
Filed under: uncultured bacterium
Lineage: Bacteria
Description: partial 16S ribosomal RNA
Rfam family: Bacterial small subunit ribosomal RNA
Source: RNAcentral